AGUCAUCUCACCACGGAACUUUCCCUCUGAACCAACCAGCCGUGGUUCCUGGAAUCCAAGUCCCCUGCAGUCCCCCUUCCGUGAGCUUUCUUUCAAACGUGUGGGGUUCGCCCCGGGAUCCAAGUCUCCACGCUGUUAAGGCUGGUCCAUAUCUCACUUCACAAGGACAGAAGCCAGG
RNAcentral lists this long non-coding RNA (178 nucleotides) under Sus scrofa (pig). RNAcentral describes it as "lncRNA (ENSSSCG00015077950.1, ENSSSCG00060067471.1)". The record is from RNAcentral. Lineage: Eukaryota; Metazoa; Chordata; Mammalia; Artiodactyla; Suidae.